This 221-nucleotide ribosomal RNA is filed under the name uncultured bacterium. RNAcentral describes it as "partial 16S ribosomal RNA". It matches the Rfam family "Bacterial small subunit ribosomal RNA", at positions 527 to 750 of the family's 1533-position model. The record is from RNAcentral.
GGAGGGAUCUAGCGUUAUUCGGAAUUACUGGGCGUAAAGCGAGCGUAGGCUGAUUUGUAAGUUGGAUGUGAAAUCCCAGAGCUUAACUCUGGAACUGCAUCCAAAACUACAUUUCUUGAGUUUGGUAGAGGAGAGUGGAAUUCCUAGUGUAGAGGUGAAAUUCGUAGAUAUUAGGAGGAACCACAGUGGCGAAGGCACUCUCUGGCCAAUUCGACGCUGGA